UCUAACUCUGCCAUAAUGAAGUCCUGAUCCCUGACACCUAUGUCCAUUUCUUAAUUGCUCAGUUGAGUCUGACUCUUUGUGACCUUAUGGGCUGUAGCCCUUUGGGCUCCUCUGUCUAUGGAAUUCUCCAGGAGGAAUGCCACUUUCCCUGACUUCAAGAUUCACUGUACUAUGGGCAGCUCCCUAGCAUGGGGCAGUAGGAAGCUUAUCCUGCCUAGUGACGAAGCAAUAGAAGUUUCAGGCUUCCUAAUCUGCCACCCUGAAGAGGAAUUUACAGCAGAUCGGAGGACAAUUUAAGUCAACUGUUUCACAGUGAGAGGACAACCCCCCUAAGUUGUUGGCUUCAGCUACUGGCUCUCAAGUUUUCACAGUCCCACGUUUUCUAACAUAGAGAAUACAUUUUAUUCUUCAUUGGGA
Molecule: long non-coding RNA, 417 nt
Organism: Bubalus bubalis (water buffalo)
Lineage: Eukaryota; Metazoa; Chordata; Mammalia; Artiodactyla; Bovidae
Exons: 3
Source: RefSeq, a predicted model, not a curated record